UCUUGUCGUCUCCAACAAGGACAUCGUUAUUUUUCAGAGGUCCCACUGCCGGCUCUGAUUUUGGUCCCACUCUGACAUGUAUAUUCACGCUCUAAAAUAUGACUAUCUUGUUCCAACAAAUUUGCAUACUCUUUUUUCAGUGUUCAACAGGGGUGCCAAGUCUCGACUCCUUACAGGAAGAAUUACGUGCGGUGUUUUCAGCGCUUCAACACCACAGUAGGGCUGGAGCCAUCACAGAAUGCGUCGUAUUGACGCUUCCCCCGCUCAUGAAAUACGGGUACAGGCAUCCUGUCAAGAGAGUGUGGAAAGAAUUUAACUUUCACAUUCUCGGUUUACAAGGAGUGGCUGGUCCGGGCAGCAGUGUCAUCCGGGUGAUAAACACAGGGGCGCUGUUCAUCGACGUCAAGCGUCGGUCAUACCGGUUUGACCUCUUCCAUCGCCACUACCUUGAUGGUCGAGCCGAUCUUGUCCACUGGAACGACGUGGGGAUGAAAAAAGUAUUGAGUGAAAUAUUUAAGUCUGUCGACCUCGUCCGACCACUUGCCCAGGGCGUGUAGGCCGCAUCGUAAAUGAUCAACAAUGGUAGCAGUUUGCUGUAGUAGGUGCUGAUAUUGAUGUAAUGAGAACUAGAUGCCUUAUCUAUCGGUACUGUGUUAACGGACGGUUUUGUGUGUAUAUUUUUUCAGUGCAUUCAAUAAAUGGAAUUUAUUUUAA
Long non-coding RNA from Hyalella azteca, 714 nucleotides. RefSeq lists it as uncharacterized. The record is from RefSeq and is a predicted model, not a curated record. The transcript has 2 exons. NCBI's taxonomy places the organism in Eukaryota, Metazoa, Arthropoda, Malacostraca, Amphipoda, Hyalellidae.